Molecule: transfer RNA, 73 nt
Filed under: Podarcis lilfordi (Lilford's wall lizard)
Lineage: Eukaryota; Metazoa; Chordata; Lepidosauria; Squamata; Lacertidae
Rfam family: tRNA
About the family: Transfer RNA (tRNA) molecules are approximately 80 nucleotides in length. Their secondary structure includes four short double-helical elements and three loops (D, anti-codon, and T loops).
Source: Rfam by way of RNAcentral
ACCCACAUAGUUCAGUUGGUAGAGCAUGAGACUCUUAAUCUCAAGACUGUGGGUUUGAGCCUCAUGCUGGGCA